This is a non-coding RNA of Chelonoidis abingdonii (Abingdon island giant tortoise), 917 nucleotides long. The record is from the annotation of a RefSeq genome assembly. NCBI's taxonomy places the organism in Eukaryota, Metazoa, Chordata, Testudines, Testudinidae.
UCACUUCCUCUACUCAAGUGACCCCACCCUUUUUCUGAGAUCAGAAUUCAUUUUUCUUUCUUUCUCAGGAGCAGGUUCAUCAUAGCCUAGUGAGAAUGUUACUAUUGCAAGUUUAUCUUGUUGCUUCAGUAGUUUGGUCUCAUGGAGAGGCCCAAGUACUGGUACAAUCUCAACUAUCCAUCAUGAGGGCAGAAAAUAAAACUGCACGAAUUGACUGUCAUGUUUCUGGCAUAACCCUUAGUAGUGCUUAUAUACACUGGUAUCGACAGAGAUCUGAUGCAGCUCUGGAACGGAUUCUCUAUUUUUCAUCAGGAAAACCGGUCUUUGACCAGGAUUCUGAGAAGGGAAAGUUUGAGGUAGAGAAGCAGCUCUCCAACUCGAUCUGUGUCCUGACAGUAAAGAAAAUAAGCAAGAGUGAUGCAACUACCUAUUACUGUGCCGCUUGGGAUCACACAGUAUUACAAAAGCAUUCACAUUCUGUACAAAAACCUACUUUGUAUUCUCAGCAACACAUUUUCAAGUACAAGAAACCACAGAUACCUCCUAAUCCUGUUUUUCAUGAUGAACUAGAUGCAAAAAAAACCUUACUGGUUUCUGUAACAAGAGAUAAAAGCAAGAGAGCUGUUGCUCGCACAUGUUUUGCAAACAGUAAGAUCCCACCUGUCUGCCAAACAACGAGAUCAAGUAGUUGCACAGGGCAGCAAAAUUUUCAGUUGGUUUCUAGGGGUGACUAAGGUUUGACACAGAUGCACAUUUAUCAGUUUGCAUAAGAGAGCUGACAUGACAUGACAAUUGAAUCUUUGUGCAGUUAGUUACUCAAGUGCACUGGAAACUAAACUGCCAAUGUAAACUAUGUUGUAACACUGCUAGAGUAAAUAGCUUGAACCUUUUUCCUGUUUCAAAUUAGCAUUUUACCU